AUUGAACGCUGGCGGUAUGCUUAACACAUGCAAGUCGAACGGUAGCAUGAGGGUGCAUGCACUCUUGACGACGAGUGGCGGACGGGUGAGUAAAGCAUAAGAAUCUACCCAUUAGUUCGGGAUAGCCUGUGGAAACGCAGGGUAAUACCGGAUGUGGUCUAAGGACUAAAGGUGGCUUUUAGGAGCUGUCGCUAUUGGAUGAGCUUAUGUCGGAUUAGCUAGUUGGUGGGGUAAAGGCCUACAAAGGCGACGAUCCGUAGCUGUUCUGAGAGGAAGAACAGCCACAUUGGGACUGAGACACGGCCCAGACUCCUACGGGAGGCAGCAGUGGGGAAUAUUGGACAAUGAGGGAAACCUUGAUCCAGCAAUACCGCGUGUGUGAAGAAGGCCUGCGGGUUGUAAAGCACUUUCGUUAGGGAAGAAGGUUUAUAGUUUAAGAGAUAAUAAAUUUGACGUUACCUAAAGAAGAAGCACCGGCUAACUCUGUGCCAGCAGCCGCCGUAA
This 504-nucleotide ribosomal RNA is filed under the name uncultured bacterium. Its description in RNAcentral is "partial 16S ribosomal RNA". It matches the Rfam family "Bacterial small subunit ribosomal RNA", at positions 30 to 523 of the family's 1533-position model. The record is from RNAcentral.